GGAAGAAGGAACUGUGCAGACAUUGUAUGCUGCUUAGCCACUGCCUCAUCUUUCUUGCCCAAAGAGCACCAUCUUGGUUCUGGUAUUAGGUGGCCACUGUGACGAGAGAGAGGGUCUCUAUAGGACCCCAGAAGCUCCAGGGACUGUAACCCACCAGGAUCCUCUGUCCAUGGAAUUUUCCAGACAAGAAUACUAGAGUGGAUUGCCAUUUCCUCCUCCAGGGGAUCUUCCCAACCCAGGGAUUGAACCUGUGUCUCUGGCGUCUCCUGCAUUGCCAGGCAGAUUCUUUACCACUGUGCCACCUGUGUAGCAGAGACUAUGCUAGAUCUUCACUAUACCUGUUUUCCUUCACCUCCUGGAUCCAUGGAGUAUACCAUCCACACGGUCCUGGACCACGAGAACAAUACUUCUCAGCUCUAGAUGAGGGAAGUGAAAUCUGGAGAAGCAAAGUCAAGAGAUCACAUAGACACAGGAAUAUACAG
Molecule: long non-coding RNA, 482 nt
Organism: Bos taurus (domestic cattle)
Lineage: Eukaryota; Metazoa; Chordata; Mammalia; Artiodactyla; Bovidae
Source: Ensembl